RNAcentral lists this ribosomal RNA (493 nucleotides) under uncultured bacterium. Its description in RNAcentral is "bacterial SSU rRNA". It matches the Rfam family "Bacterial small subunit ribosomal RNA", at positions 28 to 531 of the family's 1533-position model. The record is from RNAcentral.
GAUGAACGCUAGCGGCAGGCCUAAUACAUGCAAGUCAAGGGGGUAGCAAUAUCACCGGCGGACGGGUGCGUAACGCGUACACAACGUGCCCAAGGGCGGAGGAAAGCGGCGGGAAACUGCCGGUAAUACUCCAUGGUGUUGUUGAGUGGCAUCACUUAACAACUAAAGUACAAGCGCCCUUGGAUCGGUGUGCGUUCGAUUAGCUAGUUGGCGGGGUAACGGCCCACCAAGGCUACGAUCGAUAGGGGGUGUGAGAGCAUGACCCCCCACACGGGUACUGAGACACGGACCCGACUCCUACGGGAGGCAGCAGUAAGGAAUAUUGGACAAUGGGCGAAAGCCUGAUCCAGCCAUGCCGCGUGAAGGACGAAGGCGCUCAGCGUUGUAAACUUCUUUUGGAUGGGACAAUAACUCCGACUUGUCGGAACUUGAGGGUACCAUCAGAAUAAGCACCGGCUAACUCCGUGCCAGCAGCCGCGGUAAAGUCUGUACU